RNAcentral lists this ribosomal RNA (805 nucleotides) under uncultured Azonexus sp. RNAcentral describes it as "bacterial SSU rRNA". It matches the Rfam family "Bacterial small subunit ribosomal RNA", at positions 28 to 827 of the family's 1533-position model. The record is from RNAcentral. Lineage: Bacteria; Pseudomonadati; Pseudomonadota; Betaproteobacteria; Rhodocyclales; Azonexaceae.
AUUGAACGCUGGCGGCAUGCUUUACACAUGCAAGUCGAACGGCAGCGCGGGGGCAACCCUGGCGGCGAGUGGCGAACAGGUGAGUAAUGCAUCGGAACGUAUCCUGUAAUGGGGGAUAACGUAGCGAAAGUUACGCUAAUACCGCAUACGCUCGAGAGAGGAAAGUGGGGGAUCGCAAGACCUCACGUUAUAGGAGCGGCCGAUGUCCGAUUAGCUAGUUGGUGGGGUAAAGGCCUACCAAGGCGACGAUCGGUAGCUGGUCUGAGAGGAUGAUCAGCCACACUGGGACUGAGACACGGCCCAGACUCUUACGGGAGGCAGCAGUGGGGAAUUUUGGACAAUGGGCGAAAGCCUGAUCCAGCCAUGCCGCGUGCGGGAAGAAGGCCUUCGGGUUGUAAACCGCUUUAGUCCGGGAAAAAGGGGUGCGAGGAUAAUACCCUCGUGCUUUGAUGGUACUGGAAGAAUAAGCACCGGCUAACUACGUGCCAGUAGCCGCGGUAAUGCGUAGGGUGCGAGCGUUAAUCGGAAUUACUGGGCGUAAAGCGUGCGCAGGCGGUCUUGUAAGACAGUCGUGAAAGCCACGGGCUUAACCUGGGAACUGCGAUUGUGACUGCAAGGCUAGAGUGUGUCAGAGGGGGGUGGAAUUCCACGUGUAGCAGUGAAAUGCGUAGAGAUGUGGAGGAACACCGAUGGCGAAGGCAGCCCCCUGGGAUAACACUGACGCUCAUGCACGAAAGCGUGGGGAGCAAACAGGAUUAGAUACCCUGGUAGUCCACGCCCUAAACGAUGUCAACUGGUUGUUGGA